AACGAACGCUGGCGGCAUGCCUAACACAUGCAAGUCGAACGAACCCUUCGGGACUUGUGGCGCAUGGGUGCGUCACGCGUGGGAACCUGCCCUUGGGUUCGGACUAACUCCCCGAAUGGGGUGCCAAUACCGGAUAAUGUCUUCGGACCAAGGAUUUAUCGCCUUUGGUUGGUCCCGAGUUGGAUUAGGUAGUUGGUAGGGUAAAAGCCUCCGAAGGCGAGGAUCCGUAGAUGGGAUCAGAGGAAGAUCAGCCACACUGAGACUGAGACACGGCCCAGACUCUUCCGGGAGGGAGGAGUGGGUGAUAUUGGAAAAUGGGCUGAAGGCUGAAACAGCUAGGACGCGUGAGCUAUGAUGGCCUUAGGGUUGUAAAGCUCUUUUACCCGGGCUGAUAAUGACAGUACCGAGAGAAUAAGCCCCGGCUAACUCCGUG
RNAcentral lists this ribosomal RNA (433 nucleotides) under uncultured bacterium. Its description in RNAcentral is "partial 16S ribosomal RNA". It matches the Rfam family "Bacterial small subunit ribosomal RNA", at positions 29 to 507 of the family's 1533-position model. The record is from RNAcentral.